Molecule: microRNA precursor, 83 nt
Filed under: Cucumis melo (muskmelon)
Lineage: Eukaryota; Viridiplantae; Streptophyta; Magnoliopsida; Cucurbitales; Cucurbitaceae
Also listed under: 2 other names
Description: mir-156
Rfam family: mir-156 microRNA precursor family
About the family: This family represents the plant microRNA (miRNA) precursor mir-156. Animal miRNAs are transcribed as ~70nt precursors and subsequently processed by the Dicer enzyme to give a ~22nt product.
Source: RNAcentral
UUGACAGAAGAGAGUGAGCACACAGAGGCUUUUGGUAUAAUAAUAUGCCAUUGCUCUUGUGUGCUCACUUCUCUUUCUGUCAG